UAAACAACCUGCCUUAAGGAUGGGGAUAACAGACGGAAACGACUGCUAAUACCGAAUACGUUCUAAGCAUCGCAUGGUGCAUAGAAGAAAGGGUGGCCUCUACAAGAAAGCUAUCGCCUUAAGAGGGGUUUGCGACUGAUUAGGUAGUUGGUGAGGUAACGGCUCACCAAGCCGACGAUCAGUAGCCGGUCUGAGAGGAUGAACGGCCACACUGGAACUGAGACACGGUCCAA
RNAcentral lists this ribosomal RNA (233 nucleotides) under uncultured bacterium. RNAcentral describes it as "partial 16S ribosomal RNA". It matches the Rfam family "Bacterial small subunit ribosomal RNA", at positions 118 to 334 of the family's 1533-position model. The record is from RNAcentral.